This is a long non-coding RNA of Homo sapiens (human), 330 nucleotides long. RefSeq lists it as uncharacterized. The record is from RefSeq and is a predicted model, not a curated record. The transcript is spliced from 4 exons. NCBI's taxonomy places the organism in Eukaryota, Metazoa, Chordata, Mammalia, Primates, Hominidae.
AGUGAUCCUCCUGCCUCAGCCUCCCAAAGUGUUGGGAUUACAGAUCUAGUGGUAUCUACAAAUAAUCUUCAGGAAGCAAGAUGGCCAAAUAGCACCCUCCAGCAAUUGUCCCCACUGUAGGAACACCAAAUUUGAACAACUAUCCACAAAAGAAAGCAUCUAUAAGACCCCAAAAUCAGGGAGAAGAACAUAAUAUAGCGCUCAUCGUUUCAUUUCUCUACCCACGAUCUUGCAAUGUUUUUCCUCUGCCAACAAGGAAAGAAAAUGGAGCUAUUCCUUUACUGAGCACCUACUAUGUGUCUGAUAGGUGCUUUCCCUUUGUUCUGAAUA